AGUAGUUUGAUCCGUGGCUCAGAACGAACGCUGGCGGCAGGCCUAACACAUGCAAGUCGAGCGCGCCCUUCGGGGUGAGCGGCGGACGGGUGAGUAACGCGUGGGAACGUGCCCUUUUCUACGGAAUAGUCUCGGGAAACUGGGGGUAAUACCGUAUACGCCCUUCGGGGGAAAGAUUUAUCGGAGAAGGAUCGGCCCGCGUUGGAUUAGGUAGUUGGUGGGGUAAUGGCCUACCAAGCCGACGAUCCAUGGCUGGUUUGAAAGGAUGAUCAGCCACACUGGGACUGAGACACGGCCCAGACUCCUACGGGAGGCAGCAGGUGGGAAUCUUAGACAAUGGGCGCAAGCCUGAUCUAGCCAUGCCGCGUGAGCGAUGAAGGCCUUAGGGUUGUAAAGCUCUUUCAGGGGGGAAGAUAAUGACUGUACCCCCAGAAGAAGCACCGGCUAACUACGUG
RNAcentral lists this ribosomal RNA (455 nucleotides) under uncultured bacterium. Its description in RNAcentral is "bacterial SSU rRNA". It matches the Rfam family "Bacterial small subunit ribosomal RNA", at positions 1 to 507 of the family's 1533-position model. The record is from RNAcentral.